AGAGUUUGAUUAUGGCUCAGGAUGAACGCUAGCUACAGGCUUAACACAUGCAAGUCGUGGGGCAUCGGGGGCGUAGCAAUACGCCCGCCGGCGACCGGCGCACGGGUGAGUAACGCGUAUCCAACCUGCCCCACAGUAGGGGAUAGCCCGGCGAAAGUCGGAUUAAUACCCUAUGUUUUCCCUUGAGAGCAUUUGACGGGGAACAAAGGUUUACCGCUAUGGGAUGGGGAUGCGUCCGAUUAGGCAGACGGCGGGGUAACGGCCCACCGUGCCUUCGAUCGGUAGGGGUUCUGAGAGGAAGGUCCCCCACAUUGGAACUGAGACACGGUCCAAACUCCUACGGGAGGCAGCAGUGAGGAAUAUUGGUCAAUGGGCGCGAGCCUGAACCAGCCCAAGUAGCGUGCAGGAUGGCGGCCCUAUGGGUUGUAAACUGCUUUUGCCGGGGAAUAAAGUGCGGGACGUGUCCCGUUUUGUAUGUACCCGGAGAAUAAGGACCGGCUAAUUCCGUGCCAGCCGCCGC
Molecule: ribosomal RNA, 520 nt
Filed under: uncultured bacterium
Lineage: Bacteria
Description: bacterial SSU rRNA
Rfam family: Bacterial small subunit ribosomal RNA
Source: RNAcentral